CCUACGGGUGGCAGCAGUGGGGAAUAUUGCGCAAUGGGGGAAACCCUGAUGCAGCGACGCCGCGUGAGUGAAGAAGGAUUUCGGUACGUAAAGCUCUAUCAGCAGGGAAGAAAAUGACGAUACCUGACUAAGAAGCACCGGCUAACUCCGUGACAGCAGCCGCGGUAAUACGUAGGGGGCAAGCUUUAUCCGGAGUUACUGGGUGUAAAGUGAGCGUAGACGGCAGCGAAAGUCUGAAGUGAAAUCUCAUUGCUUAACCAGGGAACUGCUUCUGAAACUGUGGAGCUGGAGUGUAGGAGCGGGAAGCGGAAUUCUUAGUGUAGCGGUGAAAUGCGUAGAUAUCAGGCGGAACACCAGUGGCGAAGGCGGCUUACUGUACUGUAACUGACGUUGAGGCUCGAAAGCGUGGGGAGCAAACAGGAUUAGAUACCCUAGUAGUC
This 440-nucleotide ribosomal RNA is filed under the name uncultured bacterium. RNAcentral's name for it is "partial 16S ribosomal RNA". It matches the Rfam family "Bacterial small subunit ribosomal RNA", at positions 338 to 795 of the family's 1533-position model. The record is from RNAcentral.